RNA transcript from Humulus lupulus (European hop), 1038 nucleotides. RefSeq lists it as uncharacterized. Lineage: Eukaryota; Viridiplantae; Streptophyta; Magnoliopsida; Rosales; Cannabaceae. The transcript is spliced from 2 exons. The record is from RefSeq and is a predicted model, not a curated record.
CUCUUAUGAUAUACUUAGUUUAUGCUAUUUAAUAAAAUGAGUUGUACUUGGAAUUAAGAUGAUUUAUGAUGUAGUCAAAUGGUUCAUAUUUUUCUCUCCGCCUUUAGGAAAGCUCAAAAAGAUCAUUCCACCUAUUAAGCUUUUGUAAGCUGCUCUAAUUGAAUAUGUUGUUAUAUAUAUAUAUAUAUAUUAUUUUUCUAUAUUUUUCUUUCAUUAUUUGUUUCUUUUACCUAUUUCAUUCAAUAUUUGAAGCUCAAACCAUAUAUGUUUUUCAUGAUUCUUGAAGCUGCAUUUUACUUUUUAUGUGAUAGUAGAGUAUUGUUCUUGUGUAUGCUUAAUGCCUAUAUGACAAAAUUAUAUUUUAUUAUAUACUAUGAUAUAGACAUAAACUUAUCAUUAUUUUCUUUACUUUAUGCGUUGUCUACUAAAUUGAUGUGUAGUUAUUUGGUUGUAUUAUAUUUAUUGCCUAAAAUAAUCACAAAUAAUUGUCUGAAGGAAAAGUACAUAGGAAUUUACUUUAAAAUUGCAUUAAGUUGUCUUCUGUUGUCUUCUCUUGACAAUCUAUUUUUAAAAUUUUAGAGUGUCAAGAAUCACACAUUUGACUCUGAAUGAAAAAUAUUAGAUUGGAUUGGAUCUUGUAAAAUUAUUGCAAAAGGCUCUUUUGUUUCAAGUGACCCAAAGGAUGACAUUCACCAUGUUCCUCUUGGGCCUAGUGCUAUGAAAGUGGGGUUAGAUCUUGUGAGAAAGAAUUAUGCAUUUUUGUGGAGACCUUCAGGAGCUAUGUCUACUAUAGAAGAUGCUAUAGGUAGUAUAAUUUCAUGACCAGCUGAUAAAGGCAUAAUUAGUUAAGCAAAUCGACCCACAACAAAGACAAGUGCACAAUGGAUGAUGAAUUGAAGGAUGGAGCAAGUUUCAUGGUUUACUUUUUGUGUAUCUUGCUAUGGCUUUGUUUUUCAUUUUUGAAGUAAAAGAUGUCCAAGAUUAUAUAACUUUAUUAUGUAUGCUUUCAAACUUAAGUUAGAACUAAGAUCUCAUGAA